RNAcentral lists this ribosomal RNA (394 nucleotides) under uncultured bacterium. RNAcentral describes it as "bacterial SSU rRNA". It matches the Rfam family "Bacterial small subunit ribosomal RNA", at positions 29 to 425 of the family's 1533-position model. The record is from RNAcentral.
AUUGAACGCUGGCGGCAUGCCUUACACAUGCAAGUCGAACGGCAGCACGGGAGCAAUCCUGGUGGCGAGUGGCGAACGGGUGAGUAAUAUAUCGGAACGUGCCCGGUCGUGGGGGAUAACGUAGCGAAAGCUACGCUAAUACCGCAUACGAUCUACGGAUGAAAGCGGGGGAUCGCAAGACCUCGCGCGAUUGGAGCGGCCGAUAUCAGAUUAGGUAGUUGGUGAGGUAAAGGCUCACCAAGCCGACGAUCUGUAGCUGGUCUGAGAGGACGACCAGCCACACUGGGACUGAGACACGGCCCAGACUCCUACGGGAGGCAGCAGUGGGGAAUAUUGGACAAUGGCGCAAGCCUGAUCCAGCCAUGCCGCGUGUGUGAAGAAGGACCUCGGUUGG